This 347-nucleotide ribosomal RNA is filed under the name uncultured bacterium. RNAcentral's name for it is "partial 16S ribosomal RNA". It matches the Rfam family "Bacterial small subunit ribosomal RNA", at positions 338 to 682 of the family's 1533-position model. The record is from RNAcentral.
CCUACGGGAGGCAGCAGUGAGGAAUAUUGGUCAAUGGGCGCGAGCCUGAACCAGCCAAGUAGCGUGAAGGAUGACUGCCCUACGGGUUGUAAACUGCUUUUAGAAAGGAAGAAAGGGAGGCACGUGGGCCUGUUGGUAUGGACGUUAUGAAUAAGGAGCGGCUAACUCCGUGCCAGCAGCCGCGGUAAUACGGAGGAUCCGAGCGUUAUCCGGAUUGAUUGGGUUGAAAGGGCGCGUAGAUGGGUUGUUAAGUCAGUUGUGAUAGUUUGCGGCUCAACCGUAAAAUUGCAAUUGAUACUGGCAGUCUUGAUUACAGUUGAGGUAGGCGGAAUUCGUGGUGUAGCGGU